Long non-coding RNA from Xenia sp. Carnegie-2017, 344 nucleotides. RefSeq lists it as uncharacterized. NCBI's taxonomy places the organism in Eukaryota, Metazoa, Cnidaria, Anthozoa, Malacalcyonacea, Xeniidae. The record is from RefSeq and is a predicted model, not a curated record. The transcript has 3 exons.
GGCUUGUCGACUGUGCAAUGUAAACAUUUUAUGCCAUGCAACUUCUGUCCUUAUUGCGGCUGUAGAGUUACAGCAAAGGAAUUUUAUAUGUCUUUUGUAUUUGUAUAAUGUAUUGCCAAAAUUGUGGUACUAAAAUAUUACAAGGCGGAAGUUUUUGUCAUAAUUGUGGCCAUGCGGUUGCAAAAAAAGAUUCCCUUGUGCAGUGUAAUAACAUUAUCCAGUCUUAUAACAACUCUGGCACAUCUAACAAUCAAAGCCCUCCAGCAAGUGGCUCAACUUCCAUAAUUUGUAAUGACAGUAUGCCUCGUGACUUACGUCCUAUGACCUUUCAAUAAUUUCGAAAA